This 274-nucleotide ribosomal RNA is filed under the name uncultured bacterium. Its description in RNAcentral is "partial 16S ribosomal RNA". It matches the Rfam family "Bacterial small subunit ribosomal RNA", at positions 523 to 796 of the family's 1533-position model. The record is from RNAcentral.
AUACGUAGGGGGCAAGCGUUGCUCGGAAUUACUGGGCGUAAAGGGUCCGUAGGCGGCGGGGCGUGUCGGUUGUGAAAUCUUCCGGCUUAACUGGGAGGGUGCGACCGAAACUGUUCCGCUCGAGGGCCGGAGAGGCGAGUGGAAUUGCUGGUGUAGCGGUGAAAUGCGUAGAGAUCAGCAGGAACACCGGAGGCGAAGGCGGCUCGCUGGACGGCACCUGACGCUGAGGGACGAAAGCUAGGGGAGCAAACAGGAUUAGAUACCCCAGUAGUCC